UACAAGUACCGUGAGGGAAAGUUGCAAAGCACUUUGAAGAGAGAGUUAAAGAGGACGUGAAACCGGUAGGAUGGAAGCGGAUAGAGCCAGCGAAGCUGCUUGUAUUCAGCCGAAAACCAUGGGCUUCGGGCGGUUUGGAUGCUAACCACGCCUGACUGUCUGUUUGGGUCCGUGGCUGAGGUGCAUUUACGGGCAAUUGCGCUGAGACUUGUGGGAUAGCGGCUGGACAUGUGCAUAGAGGCUUCCCUCUGGGUUGAACCUUUGCACACCGACGGUUAUUUACCCUACUUGUUUGGGACUUGGCCUACGAGUCCGUUCGCUGGUGUUGGGCCUAUGGCCAAGAGAUCGCAUGCGAUCUCUAGUCUGGGCACUUCAGUUGUGGACGGUGCUCUCAAGUCCACUCUCGGUGUAGAAGCUGGUCAUCUAUCCGACCCGUCUUGAAACACGGACCAAGGAGUUUAGCGUAUGCGCAAGUCAUUGGGUGUUAAAAACCUAAAGGCGCAAUGAAAGUGAAGACCCAGUCGCUGGGUUUACAUGCGAAUGGUCGGACUUCGGUUCGGCCAUGCAGCAUGGUCCCGUUCCGAUUGCUUGCAAUGGAGCGGAGAUAGAGCGUAUGCGCUGAGACCCGAAAGAUGGUGAACUAUUCCUGAGCAGGACGAAGCCAGAGGAAACUCUGGUGGAAGUCCGAAGCGGUUCUGACGUGCAAAUCGAUCGUCUGACUUGGGUAUAGGGGCGAAAGACUAAUCGAACCAUCUAGUAGCUGGUUCCUUCCGAA
This 775-nucleotide ribosomal RNA is filed under the name Paratylenchus paraaonli. RNAcentral describes it as "Paratylenchus sp. pa CCN-2022 partial large subunit ribosomal RNA". It matches the Rfam family "Eukaryotic large subunit ribosomal RNA", at positions 343 to 965 of the family's 3401-position model. The record is from RNAcentral. Lineage: Eukaryota; Metazoa; Nematoda; Chromadorea; Rhabditida; Tylenchulidae.